This 492-nucleotide ribosomal RNA is filed under the name uncultured bacterium. RNAcentral's name for it is "partial 16S ribosomal RNA". It matches the Rfam family "Bacterial small subunit ribosomal RNA", at positions 29 to 507 of the family's 1533-position model. The record is from RNAcentral.
AGUGAACGCUGGCGGUAGACCUAACACAUGCAAGUCGAACGGCAGCACAGUAAGAGCUUGCUCUUACGGGUGGCGAGUGGCGGACGGGUGAGGCAUACAUCGGAAUCUACUUUUUCGUGGAGGAUAACGUAGGGAAACUUACGCUAAUACCGCAUACGACCUACGGGUGAAAGCAGUGGAUCUUCGGACCUUGCGCGAUUGAAUGAGCCGAUGUCGGAUUAGCUAGUUGGCGGGGUAAAGGCCCACCAAGGCGACGAUCCGUAGCUGGUCUGAGAGGAUGAUCAGCCACACUGGAACUGAGACACGGUCCAGACUCCUACGGGAGGCAGCAGUGGGGAAUAUUGGACAAUGGGCGCAAGCCUGAUCCAGCCAUACCGCGUGGGUGAAGAAGGCCUUCGGGUUGUAAAGCCCUUUUGUUGGGAAAGAAAAGCAGCAGGUUAAUACCCCGCUGUUCUGACGGUACCCAAAGAAUAAGCACCGGCUAACUUCGUG